ACAAGGUGGCAGCCGGACAGGAGAGCGGGGGCUGGGGGACAGAGGAGACACAGCAGACACUGUGAGGGAGUGUUAAUGAAGCGCCAUGCAGCAGCCGCGUGCCAGAAAAAAAGAUGAGUAACCCGCUCCGUCCAGACCCUGCUCUGCACAGCUGCCCCUGCCCGCAGGGCGGGGCGGGGCGGGCCCAGGCUGCUCCCCAGGUCGGCAUUCCGGGACGUUGGGUGAUCCGGAGGUGGACCCCACCUUUCAGCACGGGGUUGGCCAGACCUCAGUCAGGCGGCAAUUCCUCACAUGACUAAGGGUCCUGUCACCGAGGCGCCUGUGGAAGCCCCUGUGAGGCCCAAGGACCGGAGCUGAGUGUUCCCGAGGCCGGGAUGGAAGAAAAUGUGCUCACUUAUGUCACUAGACGAAAUGAAUAAAAUGUUAAAGAAAAAAAAAGAACAACUGCACUUUGUCCGCUAGAGUGACACCACCCUCGUCACCAGCCGCCUCCCCCUCAGGAGCUCUGUGCUUGGAAACACUGGGCCACAGUCUGUCCACCACGGCCGUAAAUAACUGUCAGCUGGAAUUCCCAGUUAAGAACCAGCAUCGCUGUCUGAGUCACUGCCUCCGGAGCCCAGGGACUGUCAGGACGGCUGUGGCUGUGGGUCACAGCCCUGGCCUGGCUCUUCCUGGGAGAAGUGUCCCACACAAACUCAACGGCCAGAGCAGGCCACCGAGGGGUCCACGGGUCCUCGGCAAAUGAACUGAGGACAUGACAGCAAAAUGCGUCCAUCCUACUCUUUGGUGUUAGAGGGGCCUUUCCUGUAUUGAAUUCUUAAUUAUUAAAUCAUUAAUAGUAGAUGAUGUUUAUUAUUUUCAGAUGUCUUUAAUCUGGCAAAGUAAAAAGAUAGUAAUCUUCUC
Molecule: long non-coding RNA, 903 nt
Organism: Phyllostomus hastatus (greater spear-nosed bat)
Lineage: Eukaryota; Metazoa; Chordata; Mammalia; Chiroptera; Phyllostomidae
Exons: 3
Source: RefSeq, a predicted model, not a curated record